AUGGACGGCACAACCAUGUUCCACUUCCUCCAAACAUGGACCACUUUCACUAGGGAUGGCGACCGGGCUUUGGUGAAUCUCCCAUGCCAUGACCGCUCCUGCUUGUAUGCGCGUGAUCCCCCUGCUAUUCAUCUCGAUGCCCUCUCUGUUUUUUGUCCCAAGAUGAUCCUAUCCCAGACCUCUGUUGCCAACAAGCUUGAGGUUUUCACCCUCCAUAAGCACCAUCUUUCCACUCUUAAGCACAUGUGCGGCGGCGUUGGCGUGAGCACCUUCGGUGUCCUCAGCGCCCACGCGUGGCAGUGCAUGUCUCUAGCCCGGAGGCUAGCGCCGGACUCCACAAAGUGCCUCACGUUCAUGGCCAACGUCCGAAGCAGAAUGACACCACCACUCCUAGAUAGCUACUUCGGCAACGCGAUAAUAGAUAUAAGUGUUGCCGAAGAAGCACAGAGCAUCACCUCCGGCGACCUAGCCUACGUCCCGCGCCGUAUCAGACACCAUCAGUCGGGUGGAUGA
Molecule: ribosomal RNA, 513 nt
Filed under: Triticum aestivum (bread wheat)
Lineage: Eukaryota; Viridiplantae; Streptophyta; Magnoliopsida; Poales; Poaceae
Description: partial small subunit ribosomal RNA
Source: RNAcentral